This 270-nucleotide ribosomal RNA is filed under the name uncultured archaeon. RNAcentral's name for it is "partial 16S ribosomal RNA". It matches the Rfam family "Archaeal small subunit ribosomal RNA", at positions 477 to 747 of the family's 1478-position model. The record is from RNAcentral.
CAGCAGUUCAAGUUGCAUCCCUUUUUAUUGGGCCUAAAGCAUCCGUAGCCGGCGCUGUAAGUUUUCGGUUAAAUCUGUACGCUCAACGUACGGGCUGCCGGGAAUACUGCAGCGCUAGGGAGUGGGAGAGGUAGACGGUACUCGGUAGGAAGGGGUAAAAUCCUUUGAUCUAUUGAUGACCACCUGUGGCGAAGGCGGUCUACCAGAACCCGUCCGACGGUGAGGGAUGAAAGCUGGGGGAGCAAACCGGAUUAGAUACCCGAGUAGUCC